UAGCUAAAUGCGGAAGAGAUAAGUGCUGAAAGCAUCUAAGCACGAAACUUGCCCCGAGAUGAGUUCUCCCUGAGACUUUAAGUCUCCUGAAGGAACGUUGAAGACGACGACGUUGAUAGGCCGGGUGUGUAAGCGCAGCGAUGCGUUGAGCUAACCGGUACUAAUGAACCGUGAGGCUUAACCUUACAACGCCGAAG
RNAcentral lists this ribosomal RNA (197 nucleotides) under Klebsiella pneumoniae. RNAcentral's name for it is "partial 23S ribosomal RNA". It matches the Rfam family "Bacterial large subunit ribosomal RNA", at positions 2746 to 2925 of the family's 2925-position model. Lineage: Bacteria; Pseudomonadati; Pseudomonadota; Gammaproteobacteria; Enterobacterales; Enterobacteriaceae. RNAcentral also lists the same sequence under 3 other names. The record is from RNAcentral.